UACGGAGGGUGCGAGCGUUAAUCGGAAUUACGGGGCGGAAAGCGAGCGUAGGCGGCGAAGUAAGCAGGUUGUGAAAGCACCGGGCUCAACCUGGGAAUGGCAUCCGGAACUGUUUAGCUAGAGUGAAGAAGAGGAAGGUAGAAUUCCCGGUGUAGCGGUGAAAUGCGUAGAGAUCGGGAGGAAUACCAGUGGCGAAGGCGUCCUUCUGGUCUGACACUGACGCUGAGGUGCGAAAGCGUGGGUAGCAAACAGG
This 253-nucleotide unclassified non-coding RNA is filed under the name uncultured Halomonadaceae bacterium. RNAcentral describes it as "contains 16S-23S intergenic spacer region". It matches the Rfam family "Bacterial small subunit ribosomal RNA", at positions 524 to 776 of the family's 1533-position model. The record is from RNAcentral. Lineage: Bacteria; Pseudomonadati; Pseudomonadota; Gammaproteobacteria; Oceanospirillales; Halomonadaceae.